Molecule: long non-coding RNA, 1628 nt
Organism: Eublepharis macularius
Lineage: Eukaryota; Metazoa; Chordata; Lepidosauria; Squamata; Eublepharidae
Exons: 3
Source: RefSeq, a predicted model, not a curated record
ACUCUUUCCCCGCUGUCAGUGGCGGUCGACGGGGCGCCUGGAGAAAUCCGUGAAGAUCCUUUCAGCGCGACUGCGGAAACCCACGGAGUGAUUCACUGACGGCUCAUCCGGCAAAUUGGCAACGGAACCAGGAAUCGAACCCAGAGCCCCAGUUUAACCCAGGUCUGAAUGCAAAGGCAGAUGGCAGAAUGUCUGUGGGUAAAUAGCAUGCUUGCUAUAUAUUCCUUUCCUUUCUUUCAAGCACCUUUGAUCCAAUGAUCUUGAGCAGUGGAUAAGGAGUCUUUAUUUCUUUAAGGAAAAUAUGAUGGAGUGAUGCUUGGCCAAAGCCAACGUGAUCCUUGGGUCUCUCUGUGUGUUACGGGCUGUCAAGUUGCCUCCAGCCUAUGGCGACCCUUUGAAUGGAAGACCUCCAAAAUCUCAUAUCAUUAUCAGACUUGCUCAGAUCCCGCAAACUGGAGGACAAGGCUUCUUUUAUUGAGUCGGGUCUCUAUUAGGGCAUGAACCGGGAAAAUAUCGAACCGUGCAGUUCGUGGUUCGUCAUGUUUCAUGAACCACAAACAUUCACGAACUUGCCCCGGUCCACAAACCAGUUCGUUCGGUUUGUGAAAACGUCACUUCCGGGGCAGCAGAAGGUCACUUCCGGGGCUGCAGAAAGCCCCCCCCCGCCAUUGCCUAGGAAACUGAUUCGUGUUAGGCUGUCUGCAGUGACAAACCAAAAAACGAACCAAACGAACCAGCCUAAAGUUCAUAGCGGUUCGUCAGAAAUGGGCUCUGACAAAGUGCCCAUUUGUGAACCACAAACUGGCCAGGUUCCUGACAAAUUUUGGUUCAUAUUUUGGUUCGUGGCCACCUCUAGUUUCUAUCCACCAGCAAAUAAGGAACUAUAUUGUCUUUUGAUACAGUAGGAGAUAGUUCAGUUAAAAUAGGAACAAUUCACAGGUUAUGAUAAGAAUUGUAAUGACAGCAUUCCAAUAUCAUAUGGGACAAAGUGUCAACCUUUUCCAAGUCCCAUUGACAAAGUCUAUCCGAGUAAGGUAUAUUAUGGUAUCUCCCAUAUAAAACUGCUAAAGGGGUGGCAUUCAGACGUGCAAGCAUAAAUGCUCUGCUGUAGCGAAGACCUGUUAAGAGUUUAAUGUAGGCUGGGAUUGUUGGAGAUGGAAGGAUGCCAAAGAACUGGGUAGUACAAGACAGAGGCUAUCCCCAGUAUCAAUGACAAAACAACCACAAAAUACACAAGGGAAAGAAAGUCAAUUACCUUCAGAAUGUAUCAAUACAUAAAUUAAUGCAAAAAUAUUUAUCUGAUGUGAAUAAUAAACAAAUGCGAGCAUAUAAACAUCUCAAUUUACAAUAUCUCGGUUUUCAAUACACCUUACUGAAAGACAUACAGUUCGUUCUACAGCGUCCUCAAGAACAGAGUCUCUAAGUUCUGAAUGAAUUUCACUGAGACGCUGGAGAAAUUGGCAAACGUCCUCUUGCGAAAACGAUUCUCUGUAUCCAAAGAGGAAAACAAUCCGUCAGGAACCGGCCUCAACUGACCUCGUAGAACCAGCAAGUGAAGUUCACAGUUUCUGACUGUGAACAGGGUUGAUGUCAAGUAGUUAUACGGUUCAAUAACCAAUUUCAAUAUA